GAUGAACGCUGGCGGCGUGCCUAAUACAUGCAAGUCGAGCGAACGGACGAGAAGCUUGCUUCCCUGAUGUUAGCGGCGGACGGGUGAGUAACACGUGGAUAACCUACCUAUAAGACUGGGAUAACUUCGGGAAACCGUAGCUAAUACCGGAUAAUAUUUUGAACCGCAUGGUUCAAAAGUGAAAGACGGUCUUGCUGUCACUUAUAGAUGGAUCCGCGCUGCAUUAGCUAGUUGGUAAGGUAACGGCUUACCAAGGCAACGAUGCAUAGCCGACCUGAGAGGGUGAUCGGCCACACUGGAACUGAGACACGGUCCAGACUCCUACGGGAGGCAGCAGUAGGGAAUCUUCCGCAAUGGGCGAAAGCCUGACGGAGCAGCGCCGCGUGAGUGAUGAAGGUCUUCGGAUCGUAAAACUCUGUUAUUAGGGAAGAACAUAUGUGUAAGUAACUGUGCACAUCUUGACGGUACCUAAUCAGAAAGCCACGGCUAACUACGUG
RNAcentral lists this ribosomal RNA (497 nucleotides) under uncultured bacterium. RNAcentral's name for it is "partial 16S ribosomal RNA". It matches the Rfam family "Bacterial small subunit ribosomal RNA", at positions 28 to 507 of the family's 1533-position model. The record is from RNAcentral.